CAGAAAGUAAACGCUGGCCAGACCGCCCCCAGCACGUAGAGGGAAUGAGUCAGGCUCCGGCUCCACGCAGGCAUGUAGGGGCGGAUCGCGCCGGCGCUGAGUAGGAAGGAGCUUCAGCCGCCAGCCCGGAACGCAUCAUAGGUUAGCUUUUCAAGACACUUCCUGCAUCUCUGACCUGUUGCACCUCUGUUAUCUUGGCACCUCUGUUAUCUUAGCAGCAAGCACCUGCUUCAGCUGACCCUUGAGUCAUAACCCAUAAGCUCCUGAAAAGUACAUCAAGUCUAAAGUGAACCAGCUA
This 298-nucleotide long non-coding RNA is filed under the name Theropithecus gelada (gelada). RNAcentral describes it as "lncRNA (ENSTGEG00000017067.1)". The record is from RNAcentral. Lineage: Eukaryota; Metazoa; Chordata; Mammalia; Primates; Cercopithecidae.